This 74-nucleotide transfer RNA is filed under the name Wolbachia endosymbiont of Howardula sp. Its description in RNAcentral is "tRNA-Arg". It matches the Rfam family "tRNA". From Rfam's summary of the family: Transfer RNA (tRNA) molecules are approximately 80 nucleotides in length. Their secondary structure includes four short double-helical elements and three loops (D, anti-codon, and T loops). The record is from RNAcentral. Lineage: Bacteria; Pseudomonadati; Pseudomonadota; Alphaproteobacteria; Rickettsiales; Anaplasmataceae.
UCGCUUGUAGCUCAGCUGGAUAGAGCCUUGUUUUCCGAAGACAAGAGUCGUGGGUUCGAAUCCCACCAAGCGAU